RNAcentral lists this ribosomal RNA (253 nucleotides) under uncultured bacterium. Its description in RNAcentral is "partial 16S ribosomal RNA". It matches the Rfam family "Bacterial small subunit ribosomal RNA", at positions 524 to 776 of the family's 1533-position model. The record is from RNAcentral.
UACGUAGGGUGCGAGCGUUAAUCGGAAUUACUGGGCGUAAAGCGUGCGCAGGCGGUUCGUUGUGUCCGUCGUGAAAGCCCCGGGCUUAACCUGGGAACUGCGAUGGAAACUAGCGAGCUUGAGCACGGUAGAGGCAGAUGGAAUUCCCGGUGUAGCGGUGGAAUGCGUAGAGAUCGGGAAGAACAUCAGUGGCGAAGGCGGUCUGCUGGGCCGUUGCUGACGCUGAGGCGCGACAGCGUGGGGAGCAAACAGG